CGUGAUGGCACAGGCUUACAACCAUGCCUCACCCGAAGCAAGGACAUACCAAAGGAACCCCCAUAUGGUUAACCCCUAUCAACAAAUGGGAAGUGGAAGUCAAGUUCUACCAAGUGAGGAGAUAUUGGCCAUUCAGACACCCAUUGCAUCAUCUCCUGCCUCAUUUAGCUACUCGCUAAGUCACCAAACGUAUCUGUCUCUUGUAACAGGAAGGAUUUUUACUCUCAGCAAGCCCAUUACAAUAAGAGGGAUAAAAGUUCGUAUCAAGAUAACCAGGGGUGAACGUACCGUCGACUAUUAUGACUAUGGGGCCAAGCCUCACUCUUUCAAAGUGGAGGACUAGGUACUAAAGGAAAUGCUAUUAUAAGAAGGCAUACACAUUACAAAUGUUUUGACUCUCAACCGCUUGAGAUCUUUUGUCACACAAGCCAUUCGACAAAUAUUUAAAGAAGAGGGAAUUCAGACAACUUCUUCUGAGUCUUUUGCGUUUCUAGCAUUGGAACACUUGGUCUACGCUGACCUACCCUUAUACUCCAACUCAGAGCUUCAACAUGCGUACUUUGACAUAAAGUAUGUGAUACUAAGUGUUACAACCAACAUGGUUCACAUAUCAAAAGCAUGGAUCCCUUCAUGCAUAGC
Molecule: long non-coding RNA, 639 nt
Filed under: Malus domestica (apple)
Lineage: Eukaryota; Viridiplantae; Streptophyta; Magnoliopsida; Rosales; Rosaceae
Description: long non-coding RNA (MDOM_LNC011142)
Source: RNAcentral